RNAcentral lists this unclassified non-coding RNA (212 nucleotides) under Hevea brasiliensis (rubber tree). Lineage: Eukaryota; Viridiplantae; Streptophyta; Magnoliopsida; Malpighiales; Euphorbiaceae. The record is from RNAcentral.
AAAAUGUUAAUGCAUAUAUAGAAGGAUGUAUGUAGACAUAUUAGGUGUUCUGAAAUGGAAUGGAAAUAGUCAUAUGUUGGAGUGAAGGGAGUAUACUGUAUUUAUCUAUUAUGUUGGUUGUUAUCUAAUUAAAGUUUUAGGUUUUAGAGGUUGAAAUUUGGCUGCACAAUUUCAUUUUUACUUUAAUGGUUAUGAAAAUUAAUUGGGAAGAG